CGGUAGGCCUAACACAUGCAAGUCGAACGGCAGCACAGUAAGAGCUUGCUCUUACGGGUGGCGAGUGGCGGACGGGUGAGGAAUACAUCGGAAUCUACUUUUUCGUGGGGGAUAACGUAGGGAAACUUACGCUAAUACCGCAUACGACCUACGGGUGAAAGCAGGGGAUCUUCGGACCUUGCGCGAUUGAAUGAGCCGAUGUCGGAUUAGCUAGUUGGCGGGGUAAAGGCCCACCAAGGCGACGAUCCGUAGCUGGUCUGAGAGGAUGAUCAGCCACACUGGAACUGAGACACGGUCCAGACUCCUACGGGAGGCAGCAGUGGGGAAUAUUGGACAAUGGGCGCAAGCCUGAUCCAGCCAUACCGCGUGGGUGAAGAAGGCCUUCGGGUUGUAAAGCCCUUUUGUUGGGAAAGAAAAGCAGCAGGCUAAUACCCCGCUGUUCUGACGGUACCCAAAGAAUAAGCACCGGCUAACUUCGUG
RNAcentral lists this ribosomal RNA (480 nucleotides) under uncultured bacterium. RNAcentral describes it as "partial 16S ribosomal RNA". It matches the Rfam family "Bacterial small subunit ribosomal RNA", at positions 40 to 507 of the family's 1533-position model. The record is from RNAcentral.